Felis catus (domestic cat) is the source of this 1022-nucleotide long non-coding RNA. RefSeq lists it as uncharacterized. The record is from RefSeq and is a predicted model, not a curated record. The transcript has 3 exons. NCBI's taxonomy places the organism in Eukaryota, Metazoa, Chordata, Mammalia, Carnivora, Felidae.
UGGCCUCCUUAGAAGGAAAAAAAGGUCUAUGUCAAAAUGUCCCAAAGAUAAGAAGCUGAAUGCUGCCAAGACAUUCUAGAGAGGGUUGGCCAAAAGAGGCAUCUAGGGUCACAACGGGAGAUGUUACCAAGGGCCCAGAGUUCUGGCUUCAAGUUCUCUGAGGUCACAUGAUGAGCUGAUUCUCUGGCCCCCAAAGUUCCAGUUUCAAGUUCUAUGAGGCCAAAUGACAAUACAGCAGUGGUGUAGGCUUAGAGGUUUUUUGCCCCUACCUCUCACUUUCUGCCCUUUGGCAGCUUAUUCUGAAAUGGCCCUUCUCUACAGUUGGGCUAAAAUUUCUGCAAACGGCAAAAGGACAGUGAACAUUAGCAGAGCACCUACUUGGGGUCAAGUGUUUUGUGCCCUCCUAGGCUCUAAGUUGUACCGAGUGGGACAGAGCCCUGCAAUUCAUCCUCGCUCUCUUGGAACCCGAAGGCCACCAUGUUGUAAAGAAGUCCUUAAUAAAUACUUCAUGUAGAUGCCAAGCCAUACCAGUUGUUCAUGAACCCAGGCCCCAGGGAACCAGCCAGCUGCAUGAAUGAGCCCUGGAAAAACCAGCAGAACCACCUAACCAGCCCAAACAUUUGUGAGAAUAAAUUGCUAUUGUUUAAAGUAAUUGUUGGGUUGGUUUGUUAUAUGCCAAUUGUUAACUGAUAUAAUUUCUCACCCAGUUUUAUCUGUGGGGAGGGAGUGAAUGUACUGAGCUGCCUUUCAAGGAUGCAGGUUGGCUAAAUGUAUAGUUGUACUUCUUAUUGUAAAUGCAUCCAUCAAUAUUUAGUGCAUCAGUCCUCAUGAGCUUGGUUAGUAGUUGUCUAACCCUGAGAUAAAAACCAAUUUUCUGUCCAGAAGAAAAUCAAGCAUCUAAGCCUAUGACACCAAGGAUUAGACCCCAGAUGGUAGUAUACUUGGCAAGGAUUAGUCUAGCUUUUGGGGGCUCUUAUUAGGGAGCCUCCAGGCUUCAUCUUGGUGGCAGCCUCAUUUCAAUG